UGAGUGGCAUUUUUGCUCUAUAUAUCUUGUGAGUGAUAUUUUUUCUCUGCUCAUCUUGUUAUGUAUGUGAUAUUUUUGCUCUGUACAUCUUGUGAGCGGCAUUUUUGCUCUGCUCGUGAUUGUAGAUUGAGGGUCCUUUCGGUUAGCCCUUGUGAGUGGCAUUUUUAUUCUGCUCAUCUUGUGAAUGGCAUUUUUGCUCUACUCUUUGAUGUGCGAGCAGUAUUUUUACUUCGCUCAUCUUG
RNAcentral lists this long non-coding RNA (242 nucleotides) under Elaeis guineensis (African oil palm). RNAcentral's name for it is "long non-coding RNA (EGUI_LNC039304)". The record is from RNAcentral. Lineage: Eukaryota; Viridiplantae; Streptophyta; Magnoliopsida; Arecales; Arecaceae.